CAACUGUUGACAGUCCUAGCCUGGUCUGCAACAAGCAUGACUCCAUGACCUCCUGGAGUGGCCUGAGCUUAGCCAUCAUGACCCUCACUAAGGGACACUGUCAUCUGAUUCUACUGACAGAGAAGGGCAGAAGGACAAACACCUGGCUCCAACUUACUCAGACAGGGUUUCUCUGUGUAGCUUUGGAGCCUAUCCUGGCACUCACUCUGGAGACCAGGCUGGCCUCGAACUGAACUCACAGAGAUCCGCCACAGAUUCAAGAGUCUUAUGAAGAUGCUUUAGACUCCAUGGCCCUGUCAAAGGGCAGAACCAUCCUGUCACUGGUGAGAUUUUCUGUAUGUGCCUGCCACAGCUGCAAAUUCGGCCACUGACUUGAUCUCUCGGCUUUCAGGACCUGCUAUGUACUUCCCACUCUCUUCACCAAGGCGGCUUCCAGUUCCUUCAUGGGUGUCUCUCCCUCCAUCCUUUCUUUAUUUCAAAUGAUGUGAAACCUGCUUGGCU
Molecule: long non-coding RNA, 501 nt
Filed under: Cricetulus griseus (Chinese hamster)
Lineage: Eukaryota; Metazoa; Chordata; Mammalia; Rodentia; Cricetidae
Description: lncRNA (ENSCGRG00015029286.1)
Source: RNAcentral